This 1019-nucleotide long non-coding RNA is filed under the name Chrysemys picta bellii (western painted turtle). Its description in RNAcentral is "lncRNA (ENSCPBG00000023918.1)". Lineage: Eukaryota; Metazoa; Chordata; Testudines; Emydidae. The record is from RNAcentral.
UAAACCCAUUAGCUUCAAUGAGGUUUUUGCCCAGUCCCUAGCAUAGCAAUAAUCUAGAUUAUGGAGUGGGUGACUACCAUAUAACACCAUCUGAACUGGAUUGUAUAACACCUCUUCAGUUAUUGCCUUAAAAAGUUAAGGAUAACUUGGCAUAACCUCUGGCUGGAAUCAGAAGUGAGUAAGGAAUAGAUUGUGACUGGAUCUUAUCGGGUUCCUCUGCAGCAAAAAGUAAGGCUAUAUUAUCUCAUUCUCCAGAGCAAAUAACUAAACUGACUGAAAGGCUGAUUCACUAAAGCAAUAACUCCAGCUUGUUCAUACUGGCACUCCCUGUUUAUAGUCUUCGGUUACAAGUUCAGAGAGUAAUUGCCAGCCAACCACAGUAACAAUCAAAUUGUGACACUUAAGCCUUGUCCACACUGUAAUUUUUGACUGAGUUUGUAACCAAUUAGUGGCAUGGUGGGCUCUAAAUGGUUGGUGUUAGUGCAUCACAUGGUUAAUUCUUGGCUAGUAGCCCUGGCUUCCAGCAGUGCUUGGGCCUAGGUUGCCACAUGGUUGUCUUCCUGUAACUAAGUUGGCACUGUUUAUUUUCAGUGCAGCCAGGACCCCUGAACACACCUCAGUAAUGAGUUGGCCUGGUCCUCCUUCCUCCAAGCAGUGUGUGUGGUGAAUAUUUCCGAGUGUAUUUGUGAGCCCGAUCAGCUGACCUAGAAAGAGUCACAGGAGAGGGAAAUGAGAACUCCAGAAAGAGACUGAGACCCUCCGCAGGGUAAUGGAGGAAGGCCUCAGAACCCCAGUGGGGAGGAAUCGCAGAAAAUGUGGUGAGCACUUGAAGCUCCAACAGAAGGGUGCCCUGAAAAUCCCUUCAGGGUGGCUGAUGGGUACGUGGAUCUGUGUGUCUGCGGCGGAGUUAUAGCUGCAUUUUGGGGGCUGCUCAAAAUAUCUCUGACUGUUGCGGGUUGGACUGGCAGGCAUUAGACGUGUAUGAAGAGGGGUCGUAUGAGCUGGAAGACCCACAAGCA